CAUGGGGGAACCCUGAUGCAGCGACGCCGCGUGGAGGAAGAAGGUCUUCCGAUUGUAAACUCCUGUUGUUGAGGAAGAUAAUGACGGUACUCAACAAGGAAGUGACGGCUAACUACGUGCCAGCAGCCGCGGUAAAACGUAGGUCACAAGCGUUGUCCGGAAUUACUGGGUGUAAAGGGAGCGCAGGCGGGANAACAAGUUGGAAGUGAAAUCCAUGGGCUCAACCCAUGAACUGCUUUCAAAACUGUUUUUCUUGAGUAGUGCAGAGGUAGGCGGAAUUCCCGGUGUAGCGGUGGAAUGCGUAGAUAUCGGGAGGAACACCAGUGGCGAAGGCGGCCUACUGGGCACCAACUGACGCUGAGGCUCGAAAGUGUGGGUAGCAAACAGGAUUAGAUACCCUGGUAGUCCAAGGGCGAAUUC
This 420-nucleotide ribosomal RNA is filed under the name uncultured bacterium. Its description in RNAcentral is "SSU rRNA". It matches the Rfam family "Bacterial small subunit ribosomal RNA", at positions 370 to 808 of the family's 1533-position model. The record is from RNAcentral.